This 387-nucleotide RNase P RNA is filed under the name Flavisolibacter ginsenosidimutans. Its description in RNAcentral is "Flavisolibacter sp. Gsoil 636 Bacterial RNase P class A". It matches the Rfam family "Bacterial RNase P class A". From Rfam's summary of the family: Ribonuclease P (RNase P) is a ubiquitous endoribonuclease, found in archaea, bacteria and eukarya as well as chloroplasts and mitochondria. Its best characterised activity is the generation of mature 5'-ends of tRNAs by cleaving the 5'-leader elements of precursor-tRNAs. Cellular RNase Ps are ribonucleoproteins. Lineage: Bacteria; Pseudomonadati; Bacteroidota; Chitinophagia; Chitinophagales; Chitinophagaceae. The record is from Rfam by way of RNAcentral.
ACUGCAAGCCGCGUCAUCGUGUCCGCAAUGCGGGCAAGGAAAGUCCGGACAGCACAGAGCAACGCACCACCUAACGGGUGGGUGUUCAUCUUAGGAUGAACAACAGACAGUGCCACAGAAAAUAACCGCUCCGGUUAAACGGGGCAAGGGUGAAAACGCGGUGUAAGAGACCGCGAACUUUUUUGGCAACAAAACAGUUGGGUAAACCUUGCGUGCUGAAAUGCCAAAUAUGUUCCGCUUUACCGGCUGCUCGCCGGUGCUCCGCAAAACGGACGGCGGAACGGGUAGGCAGAUAGAGGCCGGCAGAAAUGCCGGUCCCAGAUAAAUGAUGGCGCUUCAACAGCGAUUGUUGAAGAACAAAAUCCGGCUUACAGGCUUGCAGUUUUU